Molecule: ribosomal RNA, 876 nt
Filed under: Cytospora tanaitica
Lineage: Eukaryota; Fungi; Ascomycota; Sordariomycetes; Diaporthales; Cytosporaceae
Description: eukaryotic LSU rRNA
Rfam family: Eukaryotic large subunit ribosomal RNA
Source: RNAcentral
GCUUAGCAUAUCAAUAAGCGGAGGAAAAGAAACCAACAGGGAUUGCCCUAGUAACGGCGAGUGAAGCGGCAACAGCUCAAAUUUGAAAGCUGGCUUAGGCCCGCAUUGUAAUUUGCAGAGGAUGCUUCUGGCGAGGUGCCUUCCGAGUUCCCUGGAACGGGACGCCAUAGAGGGUGAGAGCCCCGUAUGGAUGGACACCAGACCUGUGUGAAGCUCCUUCAACGAGUCGAGUAGUUUGGGAAUGCUGCUCUAAAUGGGAGGUAAAUCUCUUCUAAAGCUAAAUACCGGCCAGAGACCGAUAGCGCACAAGUAGAGUGAUCGAAAGAUGAAAAGCACCUUGAAAAGGGGGUUAAACAGUACGUGAAAUUGUUGAAAGGGAAGCGCUUGUGACCAGACUUGCGCCGGGCAGCUCAUCAGGGGUUCUCCCCUGUGCACUCUGCCCGGCUCAGGCCAGCAUCGGUUCUCGUGGGAGGAUAAGAACGGUAGGAACGUGGCCCCCUUUCGGGGGGGUGUUAUAGCCUGCCGUACGAUACUCCCGUGGGGACCGAGGUUCGCGCUCCGCAAGGAUGCUGGCGUAAUGGUCAUCAGCGACCCGUCUUGAAACACGGACCAAGGAGUCGUCCAUUAGAGCGAGCGUUUGGGUGUAAAACCCGCACGCGUAAUGAAAGUGAACGCAGGUGAGAGCUUCGGCGCAUCAUCGACCGAUCCUGAUGUCUUCGGAUGGAUUUGAGUAAGAGUUUUAACGGACGGACCCGAAAGACAGUGAACUAUGCUUGUAUAGGGUGAAGCCAGAGGAAACUCUGGUGGAGGCUCGCAGCGGUUCUGACGUGCAAAUCGAUCGUCAAAUAUGAGCAUGGGGGCGAAAGACUAAUCGAA